CAUAUGGAUUCCUACGGGAGGCAGCAGUGAGGAAUAUUGGACAAUGGAUGGAAAUCUGAUCCAGCCAUGCCGCGUGCAGGAAGACGGCCCUAUGGGUUGUAAACUGCUUUUGUAUGGGAGCAAUAAGGUCUAUGCGUAGACUGAUGAGAGUACCAUACGAAUAAGCAUCGGCUAACUCCGUGCCAGCAGCCGCGGUAAUACGGGGGAUGCAAGCGUUAUCCGGAUUUAUUGGGUUUAAAGGGUGCGUAGGCGGUUUGAUAAGUCAGCGGUGAAAUAUUUCAGCUUAACUGAAAGGGUGCCGUUGAUACUGUCAGGCUUGAAUAUGGUUGCUGUGGGUGGAAUGUGUGGUGUAGCGGUGAAAUGCUUAGAUAUCACACAGAAUAUCGAUUGCGAAGGCAGCUCACAAAGCCAUUAUUGACGCUGAUGCACGAAAGUGUGGGGAUCAAACAGGAUUAGAUACCCUGGUAGUCCACGCUGUAAACGAUGAUAACUCGCUGUCGGCGAUACACAGUCGGUAGCCAAGCGAAAGCGAUAAGUUAUCCACCUGGGGAGUACGACCGCAAGGUUGAAACUCAAAGGAAUUGACGGGGGCCCGCACAAGCGGAGGAACAUGUGGUUUAAUUCGAUGAUACGCGAGGAACCUUACCCGGGCUCGAACGGUGCAGGAAUACGUCAGAGAUGAUGUAGCUAGCAAUAGUCUGUAUCGAGGUGCUGCAUGGUUGUCGUCAGCUCGUGCCGUGAGGUGUCGGCUUAAGUGCCAUAACGAGCGCAACCCUUGUCGUUAGUUGCCAUCAGGUAAUGCUGGGAACUCUAGCGAGACUGCCACCGUAAGGUGUGAGGAAGGGGGGGAUGACGUCAAAUCAGCACGGCCCUUACGUCCGGGGCGACACACGUGUUACAAUGGUAGGUACAGAGGGCAGCUACCCAGCAAUGGGGUGCGAAUCUCAAAAGCCUAUCUCAGUUCGGAUCGGAGUCUGCAACUCGACUCCGUGAGGUUGGAGUCGCUAGUAAUCGCGCAUCAGCCAUGGCGCGGUG
RNAcentral lists this ribosomal RNA (1035 nucleotides) under uncultured bacterium. RNAcentral's name for it is "bacterial SSU rRNA". It matches the Rfam family "Bacterial small subunit ribosomal RNA", at positions 328 to 1364 of the family's 1533-position model. The record is from RNAcentral.